RNAcentral lists this long non-coding RNA (276 nucleotides) under Linum usitatissimum (flax). RNAcentral's name for it is "long non-coding RNA (LUSI_LNC000761)". Lineage: Eukaryota; Viridiplantae; Streptophyta; Magnoliopsida; Malpighiales; Linaceae. The record is from RNAcentral.
GCAGUGUCACAAGUUGUCAACUGAGUUAUCAGAUUUAUUAUCGGUUUACUCUCUUGUAUAUUUCUUCAUUUUGGUUUGCUUUACUCAUCAGACUGGUCAGUUAAUUUGCAGAUUAUGCAGGUUUAAGCUCACAGACUCUUUUAGAAGUUAAAGAUAUCGUACCAGCAAUGUUGAGCAGCUCUUCCAAGGAAUCCGGUAGUACAAUUAAUUUCCCCCAUCUUCUGGAUGUUCUUUCAUCUUGGUGUUUCAUAUGAAUGGUGACUCUCUUCUUUGUAA